This 287-nucleotide ribosomal RNA is filed under the name uncultured soil bacterium. RNAcentral describes it as "partial 16S ribosomal RNA". It matches the Rfam family "Bacterial small subunit ribosomal RNA", at positions 26 to 314 of the family's 1533-position model. The record is from RNAcentral.
AGAUUGAACGCUGGCGGCAGGCCUAACACAUGCAAGUCGAGCGGUAGAGAGGUGCUUGCACCUCUUGAGAGCGGCGGACGGGUGAGUAAUGCCUAGGAAUCUGCCUAGUGGUGGGGGAUAACGUUCGGAAACGGACGCUAAUACCGCAUACGUCCUACGGGAGAAAGCGGGGGACCUUCGGGCCUCGCGCCAUUAGAUGAGCCUAGGUCGGAUUAGCUAGUUGGUGAGGUAAUGGCUCACCAAGGCGACGGAUCCGUAACUGGUCUGAGAGGAUGAUCAGCCACACU